RNAcentral lists this long non-coding RNA (383 nucleotides) under Vigna radiata. Its description in RNAcentral is "long non-coding RNA (VRAD_LNC012972)". Lineage: Eukaryota; Viridiplantae; Streptophyta; Magnoliopsida; Fabales; Fabaceae. The record is from RNAcentral.
GGAGAUGUUUCCUCAGCUGUGGGUGAAAUUGAACCGCCAAGGUCAACCAACUUCCCAUCCACAAAUAGCUUCAUGAUGUCAAAGUUUGGAUCCUCGAGGGGAGUGUUGUAAAAAUAGUGACACUGCCCUAUACCUUGUUGAAAGCCAAGUUCACGUUCCUGGCAUACUUGAUCCUCAAGGGCUGAUUUUUCUUUCAGCAACAUGUCUCGUUCAGCAACAGCACUAAGUUUUUCCUUCAGUAAUUCAGCAUAGUCGGACUUAGCCUUAUCAUAGUUGACUUGCAGAGUGUCAACCGAAGACUGCAAAGAAGCCACUUUCUUUUGGGAGGCAUCCAGGGCAGUUUUAGCUUUAAUUCUGGCGUCCUCCGCAGCCUUGGUUAUUUC